AGUCCCCCCUAUUGACUGUUAUUAUUAAUUUGAAUUAUGUGAACAUGAAGAUAUACGCUGGCAACAACGCCACCACCUCUCCGAAUGUGCCUGAAACCAAGGGACCUUACUCGCUUUUAUUGAAAAAGAAAAUGUAUCAGGAUUUUUGUAAAUAUAAAAAAUCGAUAAUUGGCUUCACUGAUUCCAUUACAAACAAAAGCUGAAUUGAUCCUAUCGAUACUAACGAACGUUCCUUGACAUCUCUAACAACAACCAACUAUUAUAUAUAUACAUAUAUAUUUUGUAAAAUGUUUAAACAAGCUUUUAAGCAUUAUAAAAAAAAAGAACAAUUGCCUGACCUACAAGAUGUAAUUGACUUCGACAUUUAUGAUGCAAACAAUUCCUCUUAUAGUUGGUGUAAUAAUUACAAGACAAACUGUACUUUGACGAACACUACUUUUGAUCAUUGACAAUAUAAACACUAAGAUAAGUAACGCCAUACAACAACGUGAUACCGUGCAGCUUGAUUUUCACAAAUAGGAGAAGGAAAUUAAAAUCGGUACCCUUGCGCUCUCACAGCUCAAAUAGUGAAAACGUUAAUAUAAUAAUUUUUAAGCUUCGGCUUUCCGGCCGUGCAAGCUAUUAUGUCUGCAUGUAGUUUUAGAACAACCAUAUCUGAGCCUUUCUGACCAUACUCAUAACCGGCAGCAUGACAGCCAAAGCGCAAAAACAUCGCUAUUUAAAAAAAAUUAAAACGUAUGUUUUAACAUAUAAAUUUUAUUUAUUAUUGUAAUUAAAUCUAUUCGGUUAUAUUAGUUGGCAAAUAAUUAUAAUAUAAUUGUUAAUUAAGUAUGAAGGAAUAAACUAAAUAUUAGAAUAUCGGUAGAACGAACUCGUAAACAACCAUUGGCUUAGACAAGAACUUCUCUCUAGCAUACACUGCGCAAAAAAAAAUUAGUAAAAUCAAAUAGGAUAUUUUCCGAAUAUAGCGGUAUAAUGUUUUUGUGCAAAUGUAUGCAGUGUACCAAUAAAUUCUUCGU
This is a long non-coding RNA of Drosophila montana, 1019 nucleotides long. RefSeq lists it as uncharacterized. The transcript has 3 exons. NCBI's taxonomy places the organism in Eukaryota, Metazoa, Arthropoda, Insecta, Diptera, Drosophilidae. The record is from RefSeq and is a predicted model, not a curated record.